Long non-coding RNA from Candoia aspera, 1847 nucleotides. RefSeq lists it as uncharacterized. Lineage: Eukaryota; Metazoa; Chordata; Lepidosauria; Squamata; Candoiidae. The record is from RefSeq and is a predicted model, not a curated record. The transcript has 2 exons.
AAGUAUUAUGUAUCAGAAAUGAGGGGCAAACAAAGAAGAGGUAAUUGCAUUGUGGUGAUUGAUAGGUGUUCUCCCCAAAUGGAGGUACUUAGAGCUUCAUUUCCACCUGAUGUUGCUCUCCUUUAUACUUCUUUGGUUCUUCUAUCCAAACCAGGUGGUUGCUACAGGUAAUGUGAGGUACUUGACUAGAACUUCAGACACAGCCUAGUCCAGUUGUCCUGCUCCUUACUUAAUUUUAAAUUACAUUCAGUUCACUGAAUUGCCUGCAAAGCACUUUUGUUAUAAAUAGGAUAUUCCAGUAAUGAUGUACCUUACAGAGUUGUUGCCAAAAUUAUAGACAUGAAUUAUCUGGAGUAUUCUGAAUGUACUUUUCAGCUUUGCCUAAAGGCUUGGAGCUGUCAUUACAUUUGCUCAAGAGUAGACAUUUUCUUUGCCCCAAAUUCCAGUCCUUUGAGCCUCCAAGCCAAUCCAUGGUGCUCUAUCUUUUGCCCCACUAUCCAAUGGGACACUGCACAAAUCCCCUUGAGAUUAUUUAAUUUGGGAUUCUGAUCAACAUUCCUUGAAAAUGGGUGGUAAAUAUUUGGAGGGCUGGGGGCUGCAUUUGGCCUUUAAAUACCACGUUGGGGUGUCACUCAGAAAGUGGCAGGCCAAGACAAAAACUAAGUCUGAUUUAAUUUAAAUUAAUACAUUUUUAAUAAUUGCUUUUCAUCUGCUUCAUAGUUGCCCCUUCUGUCACAUUACCUAUUACAGAUUGGCAACCUAAAACCUGGGGACAGGUUGUCUCUUAAAAUAGAUAAAGAGUGAUGAUUAGUGGAAGAGAAGUAAUUAGAUAGCUAGUAUGUCAGAUAUAUAAUAAUAGGAUAAGUAGAAAAUGUAGAAUCAGGAAGACGGGCAAAAAGAACAAACGAGGAGGGAAAAAUUUAAAUGAAUCAAGAAAGGAGCUGUAUAGAUCACUCCUCCCUCAUUCCAAGAUAACUUGUUAUGAUGGCUGGUUGGAAUUCGAAACUAACAACUUUUAAGAAUGUUGAAAGCCCUCUAUUCCACUUUCAUAGCCAGACUGUUUGAACCUGCUUCAGAUCCUGGAUCUGGCAAUGAUGGCUGGGAAUUCUGGCAGUUUUAAUCCAGCAGAUUUGGAGAGUGCUAGAAGAGCUCCUUUACAGCCAUGAGUCCAUUUUCUCAAACACGUAAUUUUGGAAUAGAGUAAGAUAGGAUAUUGGUCUAUUUUAAUGAAGUAUGAAAAUUACCAAACUGGGAUUAGUGGUGUUUCUAAGUGGCUUGCUUGGGUGCAUGAAUUGCACUAAACCAGCCUUUCUCAAUUUUUUGACCCUGGAGGAACCCUUGAAAUAUUUUUCAGGCCUGGGCGAACCCCUGCACAUUCAAGCUCAAAUAUAGGCCGGAAGUUACAAAAUUAUGAUAUUCGUUUCAUGGGUAGGCCUGAAUAUAUGCAUUAACAGUGUUCUAAACUGAAAAUAAAGAAUGAAACUUACCUCUUUAAUGCGAAGUUGCCCAAAUUUGAAAUAAUUUUUUAACUAAAUUGUGAUCUCCCAGGGAACCCCUAGUGACCUCUCGCGGAACCAGAGGGAGCCACUGAGCCCUGGUUGAGAAACCCCGCACUAAACUAUGACUUGUCUAGUUAUGGUUUAUGAAAUAACUAAAAAGGGGCUGGGUUGGCAUGUCAUAUUAAUUUAAACAACCCACGUUAUCAAUUAAAGUACUGUGUGAACCAGUCAUCUAAUGUCUUAACUUUUUCCGUUUCUUUGAUUUGCCUAAUUCAUAACAUUUUAGAUUAGAGAACUUCCUGUAUUUCCUAUUCAAGAUGCAAAUUCUAAAUAAAACUGUUUAUUCAA